This 244-nucleotide ribosomal RNA is filed under the name uncultured bacterium. RNAcentral's name for it is "partial 16S ribosomal RNA". It matches the Rfam family "Bacterial small subunit ribosomal RNA", at positions 92 to 334 of the family's 1533-position model. The record is from RNAcentral.
UGAGUGGCGAACGGGUGAGUAACACGUGAGUAACCUGCCCUCUUCUUUGGGAUAACGCCCGGAAACGGGUGCUAAUACUGGAUAUUCACUGAUCUUCGCAUGGGGGUUGGUGGAAAGGUUCUUUCUGGUGGGGGAUGGGCUCGCGGCCUAUCAGCUUGUUGGUGGGGUGAUGGCCUACCAAGGCUUUGACGGGUAGCCGGCCUGAGAGGGUGACCGGUCACAUUGGGACUGAGAUACGGCCCAG